Long non-coding RNA from Orcinus orca (killer whale), 740 nucleotides. RefSeq lists it as uncharacterized. The record is from RefSeq and is a predicted model, not a curated record. NCBI's taxonomy places the organism in Eukaryota, Metazoa, Chordata, Mammalia, Artiodactyla, Delphinidae. The transcript is spliced from 3 exons.
GGGACACAGCCCUCUGUGCUGUGGGGAAGUGUGAGCAACUUGCAUCUUUUCUAGUCUACCUGGCCAUGGGAGCAAAUACAGAGAUUAGAAGGGGUAGGGAGGUGGUCUCUCUUGCCGGGUACAGGGGGCUGGGAAUAACAGCAUCCUCAGUGUCCCACCCAAAGCCCACCCCAAAGGAGCUGCUGUAGCUACAAUGGCUGUGAUGGCGUUUGUAAGCAGUGGCAGUGGGCAGGUGCAGAUGAGAAAGCAUCAGCAACAGGUAACUACAUGAACAGUAAGUGAAGGGCAGCAUCAAAGGUGAGCAUCUCCCCAACCUCAGGUCACAAGGCACCAGGCCAUGACUCAUGAGCAUUGGUGAAGGCAGCAGUGAGGAUGGUCUGUAAGACCCCACACCCCACCAAGGAUAGAAAGAGAGAGGGUACAGCAGGUGAUAGAACAUGGCAGGAUGACCACUAGGGGUCUGGGAGCACUGAACUGCCAGCCUCUGUGUUCACUGAAGAAAAUCUAUGGACCAGUGUGUAGCAUUCGGGGGAGAGGCAGAGACUGCAGAAAAGAUGAGUCUCUGAGCAACAAGAAAGGACUUCAGUGGAGAGUUUUGGGAAAAACUUAACAAUCACACCUUGGUGUUACUACUCAGUGUAUGGUCUCAUCUUAUAAAAUGAAACUAGAUAAAAUGGUGAAUUUUAUGUUGCAGAAGUUUUACCACAAGUAGAAAGAAAGAAAGAAAGAAAAGAAGGAAA